CCUACGGGUGGCUGCAGUGGGGAAUUUUGGACAAUGGGCGAAAGCCUGAUCCAGCCAUGCCGCGUGCAGGAUGAAGGCCUUCGGGUUGUAAACUGCUUUUGUACGGAACGAAAAGCCUCUUUCUAAUAAAGAGGGGUCAUGACGGUACCGUAAGAAUAAGCACCGGCUAACUACGUGCCAGCAGCCGCGGUGAUACGUAGGGUGCAAGCGUUAAUCGGAAUUACUGGGCGUAAAGCGUGCGCAGGCGGUUUUGUAAGACAGAGGUGAAAUCCCCGGGCUCAACCUGGGAACUGCCUUUGUGACUGCAAGGCUGGAGUGCGGCAGAGGGGGAUGGAAUUCCGCGUGUAGCAGUGAAAUGCGUAGAUAUGCGGAGGAACACCGAUGGCGAAGGCAAUCCCCUGGGCCUGCACUGACGCUCAUGCACGAAAGCGUGGGGAGCA
This 440-nucleotide ribosomal RNA is filed under the name uncultured bacterium. Its description in RNAcentral is "bacterial SSU rRNA". It matches the Rfam family "Bacterial small subunit ribosomal RNA", at positions 338 to 770 of the family's 1533-position model. The record is from RNAcentral.